GCAGUCGAGCGGAGAAUUGGAGCUUGCUCCAAGUUCUUAGCGGCGGACGGGUGAGUAACACGUGGGCAACCUGCCCUGCAGAUCGGGAUAACUCCGGGAAACCGGUGCUAAUACCGAAUAGUUUGUCCCCUCUCCUGAGGGGACACGGAAAGACGGUCUCGGCUGUCACUGCAGGAUGGGCCCGCGGCGCAUUAGCUAGUUGGUGGGGUAACGGCCCACCAAGGCGACGAUGCGUAGCCGACCUGAGAGGGUGAUCGGCCACACUGGGACUGAGACACGGCCCAGACUCCUACGGGAGGCAGCAGUAGGGAAUCUUCCGCAAUGGACGCAAGUCUGACGGAGCAACGCCGCGUGAGUGACGAAGGUUUUCGGAUCGUAAAACUCUGUUGUGAGGGAAGAACAAGUACCAACUAACUACUGGUACCUUGACGGUACCUCACCAGAAAGCCACGGCUAACUACGUGCCAGCAGCCGCGGUAAUACGUAGGUGGCAAGCGUUGUCCGGAAUUAUUGGGCGUAAAGCGCGCGCAGGCGGUCCUUUAAGUCUGAUGUGAAAGCCCACGGCUCAACCGUGGAGGGUCAUUGGAAA
RNAcentral lists this ribosomal RNA (589 nucleotides) under Bacillus sp. CH342_12C. Its description in RNAcentral is "bacterial SSU rRNA". It matches the Rfam family "Bacterial small subunit ribosomal RNA", at positions 57 to 632 of the family's 1533-position model. The record is from RNAcentral. Lineage: Bacteria; Bacillati; Bacillota; Bacilli; Caryophanales; Bacillaceae.